Molecule: ribosomal RNA, 516 nt
Filed under: uncultured bacterium
Lineage: Bacteria
Description: bacterial SSU rRNA
Rfam family: Bacterial small subunit ribosomal RNA
Source: RNAcentral
GUUGAUCAUGGCUCAGGAUGAACGCUAGCUACAGGCUUAACACAUGCAAGUCGAGGGGCAGCAUGGCUUAGCUUGCUAAGAUUGAUGGCGACCGGCGCACGGGUGAGUAACGCGUAUCCAACCUUCCCUAUAGUAGGGGAUAGCCCGUAGAAAUGCGGAUUAAUACCCUAUGUUGUAUUUCGAUGACAUCUGACGAAUACCAAAGGUUCACCGCUAUAGGAUGGGGAUGCGUCUGAUUAGGUAGUCGGCGGGUAACGGCCCACCGAGCCAACGAUCAGUAGGGGUUCUGAGAGGAAGGUCCCCCACAUUGGAACUGAGACACGGUCCAAACUCCUACGGGAGGCAGCAGUGAGGAAUAUUGGUCAAUGGGCGAGAGCCUGAACCAGCCAAGUAGCGUGCCAGGAUGACGGCCCUAUGGGUUGUAAACUGCUUUUAUGCGGGGAUAAAGUGAGGGGCGUGUCCCUUAUUGUAGGUACCGCAUGAAUAAGGACCGGCUAAUUCCGUGCCAGCAGCAGC